GUAGGUGGCAAUCGUUGUCCGGAAUUAUUGGGCGUAAAGCGCGCGCAGGCGGUCCUUUAAGUCUGAUGUGAAAGCCCACGGCUCAACCGUGGAGGGUCAUUGGAAACUGGGGGACUUGAGUACAGAAGAGGAAAGCGGAAUUCCAAGUGUAGCGGUGAAAUGCGUAGAGAUUUGGAGGAACACCAGUGGCGAAGGCGGCUUUCUGGUCUGUAACUGACGCUGAGGCGCGAAAGCGUGGGGAGCAAACAGGAUUAGAUACCCUGGUAGUCCACGCCGUAAACGAUGAGUGCUAAGUGUUAGGGGGUUUCCCGCCCCCCUUAGUGCUGCAGCUAACGCAUUAAGCACUCCGCCUGGGGAGUACGGCCGCAAGGCUG
RNAcentral lists this ribosomal RNA (374 nucleotides) under uncultured organism. RNAcentral describes it as "partial 16S ribosomal RNA". It matches the Rfam family "Bacterial small subunit ribosomal RNA", at positions 527 to 896 of the family's 1533-position model. The record is from RNAcentral.